UGGAUAGAGGUAGUCCCUCCCAAAGCUGGGCACUCGGUGGAAAAGGAAGACCUUCCCAGAAUAGAGAUGGACCGGUCUUUGGUUGAGGGCACAUCAGGGUAUUAAAAGUAGUGGUGCUCUCCUACUAGAACCUCCAAACAAGCUCUCAAGGUCCAUUUGUAGGAAAACUUAAGGUAGUCAAGCUUCCAAGACUCCAGACACAUCCAAAUGAGGUGCUGCAUGUGGCAGUCUGCCUUUCUUU
RNAcentral lists this small nuclear RNA (241 nucleotides) under Erinaceus europaeus (western European hedgehog). Its description in RNAcentral is "7SK RNA". It matches the Rfam family "7SK RNA". Rfam says of the family: 7SK was discovered as an abundant small nuclear RNA in the mid-70s but a possible function has only recently been suggested. Two independent studies have found that 7SK RNA binds the CDK9/cyclin T complex (known as elongation factor P-TEFb). The record is from Rfam by way of RNAcentral. Lineage: Eukaryota; Metazoa; Chordata; Mammalia; Eulipotyphla; Erinaceidae.